GUCCAUGUUUGCGAUGCCAGACCCUUCUCACGAUCGUAUCAUCCUUCACUUGGAAAGGGGCUCACUUCCAUCACCUUCUAUCUAUGCUUACUAUCCUAGCUCUGAUGAAUGGAAACUUAUUGUUUCCGAUUUUUCAGACUGGGAUCCGGUCUCAGCAGUUGCUGAUGGCGUGAUCUACUUUAAUUACUACAAAUGUCACACUCUCGUUGCCGCUUAUGAUUUGAAAAGCCUCAAGUGGUUGGACGUGCAUUUGUCAGAUACUGUUGUUGAUGGUUCUUAUAUACUAAUUAACCGCUUUAAGGAAUUGCUCUAUUUAGGUGACAACUCCUUUUGCUUGUCCGUUCACUCGCUUCAAAUCGCCAACUCAAACUCCAUUCGAGUGUCUUUCGUCAAGUUUACAAUUGAGCGGACAGAUUCAGUCAUUAAUAUCAUUCCCCAGUCAGCCAGCCACUUUAUCCUUCCACACACUUCCUACUUGCGUAACAUGAUCGCACUUUCUUAGAACUACUGAAACCAGGAAAGGAGCAGCAAUUACGUUUGAGAACUCAGAACUCAACUCACGAUGAAGAUUGAAGAAGCAGAGUCCAGCAAGACAGCAAGUUUAAUAUUAGCCUGUGACUCUUUAGGCACUUUUUCUGUUGUUUUUAAACGUAAACUUAGCAAGCAACUCAAAUUUUAAUUUCCGGAUGUUUUAAAUUUGUGAUUGUGAACUAGCUAAGUGUAGCUGGUCAGUGACUUGUGGUAAACAUGAAUUUUUAGGAUGUUUUUCUGUGA
Trifolium pratense (red clover) is the source of this 774-nucleotide long non-coding RNA. RefSeq lists it as uncharacterized. The transcript has 2 exons. The record is from RefSeq and is a predicted model, not a curated record. NCBI's taxonomy places the organism in Eukaryota, Viridiplantae, Streptophyta, Magnoliopsida, Fabales, Fabaceae.